CGCUGGCGGCGUGCUUAACACAUGCAAGUCGAACGAUGAAGCCCAGCUUGCUGGGUGGAUUAGUGGCGAACGGGUGAGUAACACGUGAGUAACCUGCCCUUGACUCUGGGAUAAGCGUUGGAAACGACGUCUAAUACCGGAUACGAGCUUCCACCGCAUGGUGAGUUGCUGGAAAGAAUUUUGGUCAAGGAUGGACUCGCGGCCUAUCAGCUUGUUGGUGAGGUAAUGGCUCACCAAGGCGACGACGGGUAGCCGGCCUGAGAGGGUGACCGGCCACACUGGGACUGAGACACGGCCCAGACUCCUACGGGAGGCAGCAGUGGGGAAUAUUGCACAAUGGGCGAAAGCCUGAUGCAGCAACGCCGCGUGAGGGACGACGGCCUUCGGGUUGUAAACCUCUUUUAGCAGGGAAGAAGCGAAAGUGACGGUACCUGCAGAAAAAGCACCGGCUAACUACGUGCCAGCAGCCGCGGUAAUACGUAGGGUGCAAGCGUUGUCCGGAAUUAUUGGGCGUAAAGAGCUCGUAGGCGGUUUGUCGCGUCUGCUGUGAAAUCCCGAGGCUCAACCUCGGGUCUGCAGUGGGUACGGGCAGACUAGAGUGCGGUAGGGGAGAUUGGAAUUCCUGGUGUAGCGGUGGAAUGCGCAGAUAUCAGGAGGAACACCGAUGGCGAAGGCAGAUCUCUGGGCCGUUACUGACGCUGAGGAGCGAAAGGGUGGGGAGCAAACAGGCUUAGAUACCCUGGUAGUCCACCCCGUAAACGUUGGGCGCUAGAUGUGGGGACCAUUCCACGGUUUCCGUGUCGUAGCUAACGCAUUAAGCGCCCCGCCUGGGGAGUACGGCCGCAAGGCUAAAACUCAAAGGAAUUGACGGGGGCCCGCACAAGCGGCGGAGCAUGCGGAUUAAUUCGAUGCAACGCGAAGAACCUUACCAAGGCUUGACAUAUACGAGAACGGGCCAGAAAUGGUCAACUCUUUGGACACUCGUAAACAGGUGGUGCAUGGUUGUCGUCAGCUCGUGUCGUGAGAUGUUGGGUUAAGUCCCGCAACGAGCGCAACCCUCGUUCUAUGUUGCCAGCACGUAAUGGUGGGAACUCAUGGGAUACUGCCGGGGUCAACUCGGAGGAAGGUGGGGACGACGUCAAAUCAUCAUGCCCCUUAUGUCUUGGGCUUCACGCAUGCUACAAUGGCCAGUACAAAGGGCUGCAAUACCGUAAGGUGGAGCGAAUCCCAAAAAGCUGGUCCCAGUUCGGAUUGAGGUCUGCAACUCGACCUCAUGAAGUCGGAGUCGCUAGUAAUCGCAGAUCAGCAACGCUGCGGUGAAUACGUUCCCGGGCCUUGUACACACCGCCCGUCAAGUCAUGAAAGUCGGUAACACCCGAAGCCAGUGGCCUAACCGCAAGGAUGGAGCUGUCUAAGGUGGGAUUGUAAUAGGACUA
Molecule: ribosomal RNA, 1436 nt
Filed under: Plantibacter sp. Enf69
Lineage: Bacteria; Bacillati; Actinomycetota; Actinomycetes; Micrococcales; Microbacteriaceae
Description: bacterial SSU rRNA
Rfam family: Bacterial small subunit ribosomal RNA
Source: RNAcentral